CCUAUGAAUGAUAACGUUCAAAUACGUCAGAUGUUCUCAAUGUGCGGCUGUAGUGAUGCGUGGAUAAAGUUGAGAUCGGAACACGUCUGUAGCAUUAUUCCAUUUCCAUCCAUGGAUUCGCAUUUUGGGUUCAUGCUCCAAGCUCGGAUCUUCUACUUACGAUGACGUUGCCCAACCGUGUACUCACUAGACACUGCAUCUGCACAUCGGGAACAUCUCAUGUCUGUAGUGUAUUGCGGCGAGUGGGUAGGAUAAUGGGUAGCGUUGUGGGUAGCAGACGCAGACUCAAUGGUCCCGCCUCAAUUUUGUAUGGACCUCGCGUUUCUGCAUUCCCGCCCUAAUUUGUACCCACUUUCGCCUUGGCCGCGCCCGCGCCCGCGCGGAUCCAUACUUUCAAAAAUCAAGAUCUGACCCAAGAGCCAGGAUCGAGAGAGACGAAGAUUUUUAGGCGCACUGUUUUCUGGAGCGGAAAGCAAUAUCGACCAUCGAGAGCUAGAAAAUUCUCUUCUACUGUUCUCCACUCGAGAGGGAGAUGUUGGGGAGAGUCAGACCUUCCUCACUGGAUUGUCUGGAGAGGCCUCCUCCAAAGAUCAUCAAGGACGACGCUCUCUCCAUCUACGGUGGGUGCCUUAGCAAGCCUUUGCCUAGGUGAAAGGUAUUUUCUAGGGUGUGUCAUUAUAUCAUGGUUUUCUUGGAUACAUGUUCAGUGCCUUCUUCGGAAAGGGAAAACAAGGAAGCAACACUUACGAAGCUUAGACUUGGUUCUCAACGAGCUCUUCUUUCAUCCUCAACAAAUUCAAUGGAUAUAGAUGUCUCUUCACAAAGAACUGAUUCAAGGUAUAGUAAUGGCCCAUCUGUUGAUUGUUCAAAACAGCAAAAGGAACAAGACUUCAAUUCUCUGUCAGUUUCCUAAUGUAAGGUUGUGUAUGAUGUAUACAUGAUUGCUAACUUCUAUGGAUGACAUUUUCUUAGUUUAAGAGAUGAAUUUUUCCAUUGAAUCAA
This is a non-coding RNA of Nelumbo nucifera (sacred lotus), 1002 nucleotides long. The record is from RefSeq and is a predicted model, not a curated record. NCBI's taxonomy places the organism in Eukaryota, Viridiplantae, Streptophyta, Magnoliopsida, Proteales, Nelumbonaceae.